AACGAACGCUGGCGGCAGGCUUAACACAUGCAAGUCGAACGCCCCGCAAGGGGAGUGGCAGACGGGUGAGUAACGCGUGGGAAUCUACCCAUCCCUACGGAAUAACGCAUGGAAACGUGUGCUAAUACCGUAUACGCCCUACGGGGGAAAGAUUUAUCGGGGAUGGAUGAGCCCGCGUUGGAUUAGCUAGUUGGUGGGGUAAAGGCCUACCAAGGCGACGAUCCAUAGCUGGUCUGAGAGGAUGAUCAGCCGCAUUGGGACUGAGACACGGCCCAAACUCCUACGGGAGGCAGCAGUGGGGAAUAUUGGACAAUGGGCGCAAGCCUGAUCCAGCCAUGCCGCGUGAGUGAUGAAGGCCUUAGGGUUGUAAAGCUCUUUCACCGGAGAAGAUAAUGACGGUAUCCGGAGAAGAAGCCCCGGCUAACUUCGUG
Molecule: ribosomal RNA, 431 nt
Filed under: uncultured bacterium
Lineage: Bacteria
Description: partial 16S ribosomal RNA
Rfam family: Bacterial small subunit ribosomal RNA
Source: RNAcentral